CCUACGGGUGGCAGCAGUGAGGAAUAUUGGACAAUGGACGGAAGUCUGAACCAGCCAUGCCGCGUGCAUGAAGACGGCUCUAUGAGUUGUAAACUGCUUUUGUACAAGGGUAAACCUGAAUACGUGUAUUCAGAUGAAAGGACUGUACGAAUAAGGAUGGGCUAACUCCGUGCCAGCAGCCGCGGUAAUACGGAGGAACCAAGCGUUAUCCGGAUUUAUUGGGUUUAACGGGUGCGUAGGCGGAUUGAUAAGUUAGAGGGGAAAUGUCCGAGCUUAACUCGGGAACUGCCUGUAAUACUGUUCAUCUAGAGAGUAGGAGCGGUAGGCGGAAUGGAUGGUGUAGCGGUGAAAUGCUUAGAGAUCA
Molecule: ribosomal RNA, 364 nt
Filed under: uncultured bacterium
Lineage: Bacteria
Description: partial 16S ribosomal RNA
Rfam family: Bacterial small subunit ribosomal RNA
Source: RNAcentral